UCGUUUUUUGUGUUCUGUCUCUCUCCCCUCCUCAGUUCUCAACCAAAGCUUAUCCUCUCCUUCUUUUUUUGUGUUCUGUAUCUCUCCCCUCCUUAGUUCUCAUUGACCUCAGUACCUCACUACUCAGCCACUAGGUCGUGGAUGUCUAUUAAUUUCUGGGAUUCUGCCAUUCUGGGAACUGGGAAAAUUGGAGGAGGAGUAGUGAGCAAACUCAGAGUCUUAUCUGAGUCUUUGGUCUUCAAGGAAUCAGGUUCGAAAUUGCAAAUUGAUUUGCUUGAAUUUUCUCGGAAAGUUGCAUCGUUUUGUACUUGUGUUAAAAUUUAGAAGCAUGACUCCUAAAAUAAAAUGUUUAUCCGGACAUGCAAAACGUUUAAAGAAGAAAAAAGAUGCAGAGCUGGUUCAAUCUUUAAGGGGAAGCCUUGAUAGGUUCAUUACUAGAGAACCAGAAGCUUUGGGUGAAGAUUUAGUUAAUGAAGAGGCAUAAGAGCACAAUGAGAGGGAAGAUAAUGUGGAAGAGCACACUAAUGAACACUGCUAGAAUGUGUUAUUUUGAGGGUUUGAGAUCAAGUAUCUUUUUGUAAUUAUUUUUUGCUGCAAACUUUAUGUUUGUAUUGAAUAUUUAGCCUCUUUUGUAGGCUCUUCUAAUGAUAUUGAUCAAUCAUUUUUGGUUA
Molecule: long non-coding RNA, 671 nt
Organism: Rosa rugosa (rugosa rose)
Lineage: Eukaryota; Viridiplantae; Streptophyta; Magnoliopsida; Rosales; Rosaceae
Exons: 2
Source: RefSeq, a predicted model, not a curated record